This is an RNA transcript of Leucoraja erinaceus (little skate), 1162 nucleotides long. RefSeq lists it as uncharacterized. The record is from RefSeq and is a predicted model, not a curated record. Lineage: Eukaryota; Metazoa; Chordata; Chondrichthyes; Rajiformes; Rajidae. The transcript is spliced from 7 exons.
CGGUUCAGGACAGUAACAGCCAAACAGGAACCAGAGGGCGUUCUGCCUCCUUGACUCCUCCGACAGGACAAACAGAGGCAGCGCACAGAUAGAUCACCGCUAUGCAAAUAACCCCUGGGUUGGGUUGGGUUUUAAGGAGGCGGGUCCCGUAACUUCUCUUGCAACGUGCUGUCUAUUUAUUUGGUUUUCCAACAUUGAAGCCACCCGCAUUUUGCGAGGCUUCAGCGGAUUAACAGCCACAAAUUAAAAACGCGAGCAGGUGACUAAAUCCGACGGCCAGUUGGAUCCCAACCUAUACAUGUUAACGUUUCUUUUGCCUUAGAUAUGCGUUGGAGAGUUUUUGUUUAUGUGCCAAACAUUAUCGAGGUGUUCAAAAUCAUGAAAGGAACAGAUAGGCUAGACGCACCGAGUCUCUUGCCCAGGAUAGGGGAAUCAAGAACAGAGACAUAGAUUUAAGGUUACAUAAGGCUACUUUUACUGGUGAUUGGCUGGUGGCAUUUCAAUUAUCCUAUAAUUUUUAUUCCUUGCUAUCUGUCAUCUGUUAUUCUUGAUGGUGUAGAUGGAUUUUCAGCUCGCCGGUUAAACCAGACAUCUGAAUUUGGAGCCUGGUUUGAUGUGCUCAUUGACAACAUUGGGCGUAGCAUGAUGUGGAAUUCGCUCUACGAUUGGGGGCAUUUUAUGAGCAGCUUAGAGUGGUGUGUUUUCGUCUGUACACACAGCUCCUUGGGCUCUGACUGGAAGAAGAAGUUUGAGAAGAGUCCUUGGUUGAUUCAGAAAAUCAUGUCAAAUGAUUUCAGGUCUGUUCUAGGAACAUGGGCCAUCAGUGGAAUACACAUACUUCCCAUUUGGUUGUAUGGGUACCAGAAACUGAUUUUAACAAAGUCACUUGUGCUGCCUGUAACUGCUGCCUCUAUCUACAGCGAGUGGUUUGUAACAGGAUUACUCAUCUCUGGAAGGAUACUUUGUAUGGGUGCGGAGCUCUGGUGUAUCUGGAUCCAUAUCGUAUUCCUUGUACAAAAUGAAGACAAAGGAAAAUAAUGGACAGAUUAUCUAUUCACUCAAGACUAGUUUACUCAGGAACUCGACUCUGUUGAAUGAAGGUAGUCGGACACUGCAAUACAAUUACGUACAGUAUAAUUUAAGAUUUAAAAUGUUUUCACUG